AGAUUAAGAAGCUUCCUGAGUGCUGGAACAAGUGGAUUGCAGUGACAGGAGACUACAUAGAAAACUAGUGUUGUUUUGGAAUGGAAGGCAAGGUGUGCCCACUAGGAAGUGCUGCAACACCCCAAACCCAGACACAACAUCACAAUCACAAAUCCCAGUGCUACAGCGAGCUUUGUCCUUCUUUCACCCGAGUCCAAAUCACCUGUAAUGAGGUCAAGCGGCUUCUUUUAUGUUGGACCUGGGAGUAUUUCCGAUUCUAGGGCAUCAGCAGAUGGAAGGACUUCUGGGUCAAUCAGAAGUCCCGUAAAGUAGGAAUGAUGAAUCCCUGUAUCACCUCUCCGGCAGAACCCAACAAGGAUGCCCUUCAGGGCUACAGUUCCCAGUGUAUCUUGUGGGUGUCCAUUCAGGUAGUAUCAUCCUUGGACGCUGUCAUUUAGCAUGUUGUGGUGGCAUGUAAUCCUACCAGUUUGUCUCCCACUGAUCCUUCCACUACACUGGCCUACCAACAACAACAACAACAUUUAUUUA
Polypterus senegalus (gray bichir) is the source of this 528-nucleotide long non-coding RNA. RefSeq lists it as uncharacterized. The record is from RefSeq and is a predicted model, not a curated record. The transcript has 3 exons. Lineage: Eukaryota; Metazoa; Chordata; Cladistia; Polypteriformes; Polypteridae.